UACGGUUCUCUCUUUGCUGCAUCUACUGCGAGAAUGAAGACCACUCUCAGCAAUCAGACUGUCCACAUUCCAGAAAAUAUCAAUAGUACUCUGAUGGGAUGCACAGUUAUUGUGAAGGGCCCAAGAGGAACCCUCUGGAGGGAUUUCAGUCAUAUCAAUGUAGAACUCAGCCUCCUUGGAAAGAAAAGAAGAGGCUACGGGUUGACAAAUGGUGGGGAAAUAGAAAGGAAUUGGUCAUUGUUAAUACCAACUGUAGUCAUGUACAGAACAUGAUCAAGGGUGUUAUACUGGGCUUCUGUUACAAGAUGAGAUCUGUGUAUGUUCACUUCCCCAUCAAUGUUGUUAUUCGGGAGAAUAGGUCUCUUGUCAAAAUCUGAAAUUUCUUGGGUGAAAAAUACAUCUGCAGGGUUCAGAUGCGGACAGGUGUUGCUUGUUCAGUGUCUCAAGCUCAGAAAGAUGAGUUAAUCCUUGAAGGAAAUGAUAUUGAACUUGUUUCAAAUUCAACCACUUUAAUUCAGUAAGCCAGAACAGUGAAAAACAAGGAUAUCAGAAAAUUUUUGGAUGGUAUUUAUGUUUCUGAAAAAGGAAGAGUACAGCAGGCUGAUGAAUAAGAUCUAAGAGUUAUCUAGUCACAGAAACACGUCCUGGAGUCGAUUUGAUAUUGAUAUUUCAGUGAUGCAAUAAAAGAUCUCUAUUGACUUUGGAUUUAAUCCUUUCCAACAGGUUGAAUAAACUUUAGUGUCCUUUCAAAGGCACAGAAG
RNAcentral lists this long non-coding RNA (761 nucleotides) under Marmota monax (woodchuck). Lineage: Eukaryota; Metazoa; Chordata; Mammalia; Rodentia; Sciuridae. The record is from RNAcentral.